Long non-coding RNA from Cyprinus carpio carpio, 856 nucleotides. Lineage: Eukaryota; Metazoa; Chordata; Actinopteri; Cypriniformes; Cyprinidae. The record is from Ensembl.
UUAUUUCUUAAUUAUUUUGCUGUUUCUAUGUGGUUUCUGAGUGUUAUUAGCAUGUUGCACUGCAUUAGAUGUUAUUUGGGUGGUUUCUAGGGUGUUGCUAAGGUGUUCUGAGUGUUUUUAGCAUGUCGCACUGCAGUUGAUGUUAUUUGGGUGGUUUCUAGGGCGUUGCCAAGGUGUUCUGAUUGUUUUUAGCAUGUCGCACUGCAGUAGAUGUUAUUUGGGUGGUUUCUAGGGUGUUGCCAAGGUGUUCUGAGUGUUUUUAGCAUGUCGCACUGCAGUAGAUGUUAUUUGGGUGGUUUCUAGGGCGUUGCCAAGGUGUUCUAAUUGUUUUUAGCAUGUCGCACUGCAGUUGAUGUUAUUUGGGUGGUUUCUAGGGCGUUGCCAAGGUGUUCUAAUUGUUUUUAGCAUGUCGCACUGCAGUAGAUGUUAUUUGGGUGGUUUCUAGGGCGUUGCCAAGGUGUUCUAAUUGUUUUUAGCAUGUCGCACUGCAGUAGAUGUUAUUUGGGUGGUUUCUAGGGCGUUGCCAAGGUGUUCUAAUUGUCUUUAGCAUGUCGCACUGCAGUAGAUGUUAUUUGGGUGGUUUCUAGUGCGUUGCCAAGGUGUUCCGAGUGUUUAUAGCAUGUUGCACCGCAGUAGGUGUUUUGGGUGGUUUCUAUGGCGUUGCUAUGUGAUUAAUUUCCUAUCUGUUAGGAUGCUCUUUUACCAGGUGGCUGACUAUGUUGGUAGUGUACUGCGAGGCAGGUAUUGGAACAAAGCGGUCUUGUUUUGUCUUUGUAGUGAUCACACAGGGUACUUUAUCUGUGUGGUGAAACCAGACUGAUCUCUGAAACACAAUGGCACUGUUUUAUCCUGUUCU